GUAGGUGAACCUGCGGAAGGAUCAUUAUCACGUUAUCCACGUAUAAACCAUUGUGAACCGUACCUAACCUCUGUGUUUUUUUCUGAGGGCGGAUCGGAGAGUUGUUUAUUCAGCUUUUCGUUCCAAACUUGGGAGGAAAUCAGAGCGUAUUACCCUUUCUAUUAACCAUUUUAACCAAAACUUUAACCUUUUAAACUAAUUUUUAUUUUAUACUCUUCGGAGAUAAAAUUCAUUACGAAACAAAGAACAACUCUUAGCAACGGAUAUCUUGGUUCUC
This 277-nucleotide unclassified non-coding RNA is filed under the name rhizosphere metagenome. Its description in RNAcentral is "partial ribosomal RNA internal transcribed spacer region". The record is from RNAcentral.